Molecule: long non-coding RNA, 620 nt
Organism: Cyprinus carpio (common carp)
Lineage: Eukaryota; Metazoa; Chordata; Actinopteri; Cypriniformes; Cyprinidae
Source: Ensembl
AGAACUAACAAAUUUGGGACAAAAUGUGUCCAUAAACUGUGAUCUUGAAGAAAAAGAGAUUUAUUGGAUGCUGCUACAACUACCAAAUCGUCCAGUUAUGAUAUUGCGGUUGUUUUCAACUUCGCCAACUCCUUUUUACUACGAUGCAAGUUUCAAAGCCAAAUAUUCAGUGCAACCUAAACAUCAUCUAUUUAUAAACAAUGUCACCCUUGAUGAGUUAGGCAUUUAUUACUGCAUGACCACAGAGGCACCUCCAAGAUUCAGCAACGGCACCAGACUUCACAUCACUGAACCAACUAAAUUACCUGAGUGCCAGAAUCACACUGUGGUGAAGUUUGUUGAGCAGAAUCAUACAGUGGUGAAUUUUACCGACCAAAUUCAGAGACCAUGGAUGAUUAUUGUUAUCUUAUCUGGUCUGAUACAUGGUGUUCUGGUCUUUGUGGUCAUUGGUGUGUGUUGCUACUCUGGAGAAAAAUUAAAAAGACAAGAAGAAGAUUUAGAGGAGACUCAGUUCAUGCCUCUGGAAAAACUUCAAGAGACAAAGAUGAUGGUAAAUAAUGCAAAACCAUCUCUUUUUGGUUUACAUUGAUUUAAUUAUUCAUUACUUUAAAGAUUACUUU